Molecule: ribosomal RNA, 460 nt
Filed under: uncultured bacterium
Lineage: Bacteria
Description: bacterial SSU rRNA
Rfam family: Bacterial small subunit ribosomal RNA
Source: RNAcentral
AGAGUUUGAUCCUGGCUCAGAUUGAACGCUGGCGGCAGGCCUAACACAUGCAAGUCGAACGGUAACAGGAAACAGCUUGCUGUUUCGCUGACGAGUGGCGGACGGGUGAGUAAUGUCUGGGAAACUGCCUGAUGGAGGGGGAUAACUACUGGAAACGGUAGCUAAUACCGCAUAACGUCGCAAGACCAAAGAGGGGGACCUUCGGGCCUCUUGCCAUCGGAUGUGCCCAGAUGGGAUUAGCUAGUAGGUGGGGUAACGGCUCACCUAGGCGACGAUCCCUAGCUGGUCUGAGAGGAUGACCAGCCACACUGGAACUGAGGCACGGUCCAGACUCCUACGGGAGGCAGCAGUGGGGAAUAUUGCACAAUGGGCGCAAGCCUGAUGCAGCCAUGCCGCGUGUAUGAAGAAGGCCUUCGGGUUGUAAAGUACUUUCAGCGGGGAGGAAGGGAGUAAAGUUAAU